UACAGAGGUGGCAAGCGUUGUUCGGAAUUACUGGGCGUAAAGGGCGAGUAGGUGGCCAUCUAAGUCAGACGUGAAAUCCCUCGGCUUAACCGGGGAACUGCGUCUGAUACUGGAUGGCUUGAGUUUGGGAGAGGGAUGCGGAAUUCCAGGUGUAGCGGUGAAAUGCGUAGAUAUCUGGAGGAACACCGGUGGCGAAGGCGGCAUCCUGGACCAACACUGACACUGAGGAGCGAAAGCCAGGGGAGCAAACGGG
This 253-nucleotide ribosomal RNA is filed under the name uncultured bacterium. RNAcentral describes it as "partial 16S ribosomal RNA". It matches the Rfam family "Bacterial small subunit ribosomal RNA", at positions 524 to 776 of the family's 1533-position model. The record is from RNAcentral.